This 76-nucleotide transfer RNA is filed under the name Chloroflexota bacterium. RNAcentral describes it as "Chloroflexi bacterium tRNA-Arg". It matches the Rfam family "tRNA". From Rfam's summary of the family: Transfer RNA (tRNA) molecules are approximately 80 nucleotides in length. Their secondary structure includes four short double-helical elements and three loops (D, anti-codon, and T loops). Further hydrogen bonds mediate the characteristic L-shaped molecular structure. tRNAs have two regions of fundamental functional importance: the anti-codon, which is responsible for specific mRNA codon recognition, and the 3' end, to which the tRNAs corresponding amino acid is attached (by aminoacyl-tRNA synthetases). tRNAs cope with the degeneracy of the genetic code in two manners: having more than one tRNA (with a specific anti-codon) for a particular amino acid; and 'wobble' base-pairing, i.e. permitting non-standard base-pairing at the 3rd anti-codon position. RNAcentral also lists the same sequence under 1 other name. The record is from RNAcentral. Lineage: Bacteria; Bacillati; Chloroflexota.
GCGCCGGUAGCUCAGGGGAUAGAGCAAUAGUCUUCGGAACUAUCGGUCGGGGGUUCGAAUCCCUCCCGGCGCACCA